CGGACUCGACUAUUUAAUACCUAUAAUUAGCAUAAACAUCAUUUAAUUCUCCAAAUAAAUGCAAAGAAUAUGGUGGCGUCCUUUUGGGUUUCAAGGAAACUCUGUGGACUUUGGACAAGGCUAUCUUAAAGAGUCAUUAUGUGGACAAUAUAACUGACUCGGCUAGGUUUGACCAUGAUGCAUGCACGGUUAAACAGAGUAAGGUUUCUAUGGGGUAUUAGACCGGUACCCUUGAGCGGACAACUCAACAGGGAAAGAAACGGAACCAUCGAUUGCACCGUUG
RNAcentral lists this long non-coding RNA (283 nucleotides) under Nicotiana benthamiana. RNAcentral describes it as "long non-coding RNA (NBEN_LNC016521)". The record is from RNAcentral. Lineage: Eukaryota; Viridiplantae; Streptophyta; Magnoliopsida; Solanales; Solanaceae.